GAUGAACGCUAGCGGCAGGCUUAAUACAUGCAAGUCGAACGGUAACAGGGUUGUAGCAAUACAAUCGCUGACGAGUGGCAGACGGGUGAGGAACACGUACACAACUUCCCUUUAUCUGGUGAAUAGCCCCGAGAAAUCGGGAUUAAUACACCAUAGUAUCUUGGAGAGUCAUCUCUUUAAGAUUAAAGUUCCGGCGGAACAAGAUGGGUGUGCGUCUGAUUAGCUAGUUGGUUGUGGUAACGGCUCACCAAGGCGGCGAUCAGUAACUGGUGUGAGAGCACGGCCAGUCACACGGGCACUGAGAUACGGGCCCGACUCCUACGGGAGGCAGCAGUAAGGAAUAUUGGUCAAUGGACGCAAGUCUGAACCAGCCAUGCCGCGUGCAGGAUGAAGGCCCUCUGGGUCGUAAACUGCUUUUAUCAGGGAAGAAAUCACUUAUUUCUAUGAGUGUUGACGGUACCUGAGGAAUAAGCACCGGCUAACUCCGUGCCAGCCGCCGCCGUAA
Molecule: ribosomal RNA, 505 nt
Filed under: uncultured bacterium
Lineage: Bacteria
Description: partial 16S ribosomal RNA
Rfam family: Bacterial small subunit ribosomal RNA
Source: RNAcentral